This 322-nucleotide small RNA is filed under the name Pan troglodytes (chimpanzee). RNAcentral's name for it is "processed transcript". The record is from RNAcentral. Lineage: Eukaryota; Metazoa; Chordata; Mammalia; Primates; Hominidae.
UGAGGUGGACAGGAAGGGACCUCGCGAGCAGACGCGCGCCCGCGACAGCAACCCCGCCCCGGCCUGUCGGGAGCGGUGGGGCAGAGGCUGCGGAGCCCCAGGAGGAUCUGCCUCCGCUUUCACAGUCCUCCAGAUUUUUACAAGAGCAGCAGAAAAUGAAUAAAUCCCUGAUGGAGUCUCACUCUGUUGCCCAGGCUGGAGUGCAGUGGCGCUAUCCCUGAUUCAAGCGAUUCUCCUGCCUUAGCCCCCGAGUAGCUGCGAUUACAGGCACCUGCCACCACACCCAGCUCAUUUUUGUAUUUUUUUUAGUAGAGACGGGGUU